GGGUUGUGAGGUUAAGCGACUAAGCGUACACGGUGGAUGCCCUGGCAGUCAGAGGCGAUGAAGGACGUGCUAAUCUGCGAUAAGCGUCGGUAAGGUGAUAUGAACCGUUAUAACCGGCGAUUUCCGAAUGGGGAAACCCAGUGUGAUUCGUCACACUAUCAUUAACUGAAUCCAUAGGUUAAUGAGGCGAACCGGGGGAACUGAAACAUCUAAGUACCCCGAGGAAAAGAAAUCAACCGAGAUUCCCCCAGUAGCGGCGAGCGAACGGGGAGCAGCCCAGAGCCUGAAUCAGUGUGUGUGUUAGUGGAAGCGUCUGGAAAGGCGCGCGAUACAGGGUGACAGCCCCGUACACAAAAAUGCACAUACUGUGAGCUCGAUGAGUAGGGCGGGACACGUGGUAUCCUGUCUGAAUAUGGGGGGACCAUCCUCCAAGGCUAAAUACUCCUGACUGACCGAUAGUGAACCAGUACCGUGAGGGAAAGGCGAAAAGAACCCCGGCGAGGGGAGUGAAAAAGAACCUGAAACCGUGUACGUACAAGCAGUGGGAGCACGCUUAGGCGUGUGACUGCGUACCUUUUGUAUAAUGGGUCAGCGACUUAUAUUCUGUAGCAAGGUUAACCGAAUAGGGGAGCCGAAGGGAAACCGAGUCUUAACUGGGCGUUAAGUUGCAGGGUAUAGACCCGAAACCCGGUGAUCUAGCCAUGGGCAGGUUGAAGGUUGGGUAACACUAACUGGAGGACCGAACCGACUAAUGUUGAAAAAUUAGCGGAUGACUUGUGGCUGGGGGUGAAAGGCCAAUCAAACCGGGAGAUAGCUGGUUCUCCCCGAAAGCUAUUUAGGUAGCGCCUCGUGAAUUCAUCUCCGGGGGUAGAGCACUGUUUCGGCAAGGGGGUCAUCCCGACUUACCAACCCGAUGCAAACUGCGAAUACCGGAGAAUGUUAUCACGGGAGACACACGGCGGGUGCUAACGUCCGUCGUGAAGAGGGAAACAACCCAGACCGCCAGCUAAGGUCCCAAAGUCAUGGUUAAGUGGGAAACGAUGUGGGAAGGCCCAGACAGCCAGGAUGUUGGCUUAGAAGCAGCCAUCAUUUAAAGAAAGCGUAAUAGCUCACUGGUCGAGUCGGCCUGCGCGGAAGAUGUAACGGGGCUAAACCAUGCACCGAAGCUGCGGCAGCGACGCUUAUGCGUUGUUGGGUAGGGGAGCGUUCUGUAAGCCUGUGAAGGUGUGCUGUGAGGCAUGCUGGAGGUAUCAGAAGUGCGAAUGCUGACAUAAGUAACGAUAAAGCGGGUGAAAAGCCCGCUCGCCGGAAGACCAAGGGUUCCUGUCCAACGUUAAUCGGGGCAGGGUGAGUCGACCCCUAAGGCGAGGCCGAAAGGCGUAGUCGAUGGGAAACAGGUUAAUAUUCCUGUACUUGGUGUUACUGCGAAGGGGGGACGGAGAAGGCUAUGUUGGCCGGGCGACGGUUGUCCCGGUUUAAGCGUGUAGGCUGGUUUUCCAGGCAAAUCCGGAAAAUCAAGGCUGAGGCGUGAUGACGAGGCACUACGGUGCUGAAGCAACAAAUGCCCUGCUUCCAGGAAAAGCCUCUAAGCAUCAGGUAACAUCAAAUCGUACCCCAAACCGACACAGGUGGUCAGGUAGAGAAUACCAAGGCGCUUGAGAGAACUCGGGUGAAGGAACUAGGCAAAAUGGUGCCGUAACUUCGGGAGAAGGCACGCUGAUAUGUAGGUGAAGUCCCUCGCGGAUGGAGCUGAAAUCAGUCGAAGAUACCAGCUGGCUGCAACUGUUUAUUAAAAACACAGCACUGUGCAAACACGAAAGUGGACGUAUACGGUGUGACGCCUGCCCGGUGCCGGAAGGUUAAUUGAUGGGGUCAGCGCAAGCGAAGCUCUUGAUCGAAGCCCCGGUAAACGGCGGCCGUAACUAUAACGGUCCUAAGGUAGCGAAAUUCCUUGUCGGGUAAGUUCCGACCUGCACGAAUGGCGUAAUGAUGGCCAGGCUGUCUCCACCCGAGACUCAGUGAAAUUGAACUCGCUGUGAAGAUGCAGUGUACCCGCGGCAAGACGGAAAGACCCCGUGAACCUUUACUAUAGCUUGACACUGAACAUUGAGCCUUGAUGUGUAGGAUAGGUGGGAGGCUUAGAAGUGUGGACGCCAGUCUGCAUGGAGCCGACCUUGAAAUACCACCCUUUAAUGUUUGAUGUUCUAACGUUGACCCGUAAUCCGGGUUGCGGACAGUGUCUGGUGGGUAGUUUGACUGGGGCGGUCUCCUCCUAAAGAGUAACGGAGGAGCACGAAGGUUGGCUAAUCCUGGUCGGACAUCAGGAGGUUAGUGCAAUGGCAUAAGCCAGCUUGACUGCGAGCGUGACGGCGCGAGCAGGUGCGAAAGCAGGUCAUAGUGAUCCGGUGGUUCUGAAUGGAAGGGCCAUCGCUCAACGGAUAAAAGGUACUCCGGGGAUAACAGGCUGAUACCGCCCAAGAGUUCAUAUCGACGGCGGUGUUUGGCACCUCGAUGUCGGCUCAUCACAUCCUGGGGCUGAAGUAGGUCCCAAGGGUAUGGCUGUUCGCCAUUUAAAGUGGUACGCGAGCUGGGUUUAGAACGUCGUGAGACAGUUCGGUCCCUAUCUGCCGUGGGCGCUGGAGAACUGAGGGGGGCUGCUCCUAGUACGAGAGGACCGGAGUGGACGCAUCACUGGUGUUCGGGUUGUCAUGCCAAUGGCACUGCCCGGUAGCUAAAUGCGGAAGAGAUAAGUGCUGAAAGCAUCUAAGCACGAAACUUGCCCCGAGAUGAGUUCUCCCUGACCCUUUAAGGGUCCUGAAGGAACGUUGAAGACGACGACGUUGAUAGGCCGGGUGUGUAAGCGCAGCGAUGCGUUGAGCUAACCGGUACUAAUGAACCGUGAGGCUUAACCUUACAACGCCGAAGCUGUU
Molecule: ribosomal RNA, 2930 nt
Filed under: Escherichia coli
Lineage: Bacteria; Pseudomonadati; Pseudomonadota; Gammaproteobacteria; Enterobacterales; Enterobacteriaceae
Description: 23S ribosomal RNA
Rfam family: Bacterial large subunit ribosomal RNA
Source: RNAcentral